Molecule: transfer RNA, 88 nt
Filed under: Flavobacteriaceae bacterium
Lineage: Bacteria; Pseudomonadati; Bacteroidota; Flavobacteriia; Flavobacteriales; Flavobacteriaceae
Description: tRNA-Glu
Rfam family: tRNA
About the family: Transfer RNA (tRNA) molecules are approximately 80 nucleotides in length.
Source: RNAcentral
GCCCGGAUGGCAGAGUUGGUCCAAUGCGCUGGCCUUUCAAGUCAGUGAGUUGAGGCUCACGCGGGUUCGAAUCCCGCUCCGGGCACCA